RNAcentral lists this ribosomal RNA (440 nucleotides) under uncultured bacterium. RNAcentral describes it as "partial 16S ribosomal RNA". It matches the Rfam family "Bacterial small subunit ribosomal RNA", at positions 338 to 795 of the family's 1533-position model. The record is from RNAcentral.
CCUACGGGAGGCAGCAGUAGGGGAUAUUGCUCAAUGGGGGAAACCCUGAAGCAGCAACGCCGCGUGGGGGAUGAAGGGUUUCGGAGUGUAAACUCCUUUUGUUAGAGAAGAUAAUGACGGUAUCUAACGAAUAAGCCCCGGCUAACUCCGUGCCAGCAGCCGCGGUAAUACGUAGGGUGCAAGCGUUACUCGGAAUCACUGGGCGUAAAGAGCGCGUAGGCGGGAUAGCAAGUCAGAUGUGAAAGCCUAGGGCUUAACCAUAGGACUGCAUUUGAAACUGUUAUUCUAGAGUAUGGGAGGGGCAGGUGGAAUUCUUGGUGUAGGGGUAAAAUGCGUAGAGAUCAAGAGGAACACGCAUUGCGAAGGCGACCUGCUAGAAUAUAACUGACGCUGAUGCGCGAAGGCGUGGGGAGCAAACAGGAUUAGAUACCCCUGUAGUC